Long non-coding RNA from Dicentrarchus labrax (European seabass), 384 nucleotides. RefSeq lists it as uncharacterized. The record is from RefSeq and is a predicted model, not a curated record. The transcript is spliced from 2 exons. NCBI's taxonomy places the organism in Eukaryota, Metazoa, Chordata, Actinopteri, Moronidae.
AGCAGCGGCUGAGGCUUCUGCAGCCGAGGCAGAGGACCUGCCUGUCGCGGACGAGGAGCCCGGACUGGCUCGAGCUGGGGCGGACUGCUGGUGCCUGUGCUCUCGCUGUGCGCCUACGGACACACGGACGUCUGACUGUAAAACAAUAUCGCCUAACAGUCUUUCUGGAAUGGGUCCUGCAAGGCGAGAGAUUGGGUCAAGGCCAUCGUGUCGUUUUACCCGCUGAUGUGGUGCAGGCUAUCCGACAGAAAUAUCCAGCUCCAGAUGGCCAGUACUGCGGCACCGAGACGUUGAGGACGCUCAGGAGGAACUACAACUGUCAUUGUUAACAUAUUUAUUUUUGUUGUUGUUGAUAUAUUUCUGUAAAUAAAUGGUUUACAUUCA